UUUAAACUGGUUUGGGAAAACCAAAUAUAUUAUAUAUUUUGCUUUGUUCAAAAUAAGGUUUUCUAAUAAAUUAUGUUUUUAUCAGAUAUGACAGAAUCUUUUUUAAAAUCUCUUCAAUAUGCUUUUAUUGCUUUUGAGAGGUUUUGUUACUUUGAGUAAAAUUAAGUGUUCAUAACAGACGGGUAGUCAUGAUUGAGUUC
Molecule: ribosomal RNA, 200 nt
Filed under: Plasmodium falciparum (malaria parasite P. falciparum)
Lineage: Eukaryota; Apicomplexa; Aconoidasida; Haemosporida; Plasmodiidae
Description: partial 18S ribosomal RNA
Source: RNAcentral